GAUCCUGGCUCAGGAUGAACGCUAGCUACAGGCUUAACACAUGCAAGUCGAGGGGCAGCAUGUUGGUUGCUUGCAACCGAUGAUGGCGACCGGCGCACGGGUGAGUAACGCGUAUCCAACCUACCCUUGUCCAUCGGAUAACCCGUCGAAAGGCGGCCUAACACGAUAUGCGGUUCACAGCAGGCAUCUAACGUGAACGAAAUGUGAAGGAGAAGGAUGGGGAUGUGU
RNAcentral lists this ribosomal RNA (228 nucleotides) under uncultured bacterium. RNAcentral describes it as "partial 16S ribosomal RNA". It matches the Rfam family "Bacterial small subunit ribosomal RNA", at positions 15 to 236 of the family's 1533-position model. The record is from RNAcentral.